Small nucleolar RNA from Acomys russatus (golden spiny mouse), 125 nucleotides. RefSeq annotates it as small nucleolar RNA SNORA17. The transcript has a single exon. The record is from RefSeq and is a predicted model, not a curated record. Lineage: Eukaryota; Metazoa; Chordata; Mammalia; Rodentia; Muridae.
ACCUUCCCUAGAGGCAUUGCAGGUGUGGCUGCUAUACCACAUGUGUGUCAGUAGGUGGCAGGAGAGAGGCUAUGUCUGCACUCCGUGUUCUGAGCUGGGAGCAUCUGAAUUAGUAGUCUAUCAUU